RNAcentral lists this ribosomal RNA (258 nucleotides) under Acinetobacter radioresistens. Its description in RNAcentral is "partial 23S ribosomal RNA". It matches the Rfam family "Bacterial large subunit ribosomal RNA", at positions 2690 to 2925 of the family's 2925-position model. The record is from RNAcentral. Lineage: Bacteria; Pseudomonadati; Pseudomonadota; Gammaproteobacteria; Moraxellales; Moraxellaceae.
GACCAGAGUGGACGAACCUCUGGUGUACCGGUUGUGACGCCAGUCGCAUCGCCGGGUAGCUAUGUUCGGAAGGGAUAACCGCUGAAAGCAUCUAAGCGGGAAGCCUACCUCAAGAUAAGAUUUCCCCAGGAAUUUAUUCCUCUAAAGAGCCGUUCGAGACUAGGACGUUGAUAGGUUGGGUGUGGAAGCAUAGUGAUAUGUGAAGCUGACCAAUACUAAUUGCUCGUGAGGCUUGACUAUACAACACCCAAACAGUUG